This 447-nucleotide ribosomal RNA is filed under the name uncultured bacterium. RNAcentral describes it as "bacterial SSU rRNA". It matches the Rfam family "Bacterial small subunit ribosomal RNA", at positions 355 to 825 of the family's 1533-position model. The record is from RNAcentral.
UGGGGAAUAUUGGACAAUGGGCGCAAGCCUGAUCCAGCCAUGCCGCGUGAGUGACGAAGGCCUUAGGGUUGUAAAGCUCUUUUGGCGGGGAAGAUAAUGACGGUACCCGCAGAAUAAGCUCCGGCUAACUUCGUGCCAGCAGCCGCGGUAAUACGAAGGGAGCUAGCGUUGUUCGGAAUCACUGGGCGUAAAGCGCACGUAGGCGGAUGUGUCAGUCAGGGGUGAAAUCCCGGAGCUCAACUUCGGAACUGCCCUUGAUACAGCACGUCUUGAGUCCGAUAGAGGUGGGUGGAAUUCCUAGUGUAGAGGUGAAAUUCGUAGAUAUUAGGAAGAACACCGGUGGCGAAGGCGGCCCACUGGAUCGGUACUGACGCUGAGAUGCGAAGGCGUGGGGAGCAAACGGGAUUAGAUACCCCGGUAGUCCCUGAGCGGGCUGGCAAGGCGCAU